Molecule: small RNA, 125 nt
Filed under: Marmota monax (woodchuck)
Lineage: Eukaryota; Metazoa; Chordata; Mammalia; Rodentia; Sciuridae
Source: RNAcentral
GCUAGGCAUGGUGAUGCACGCCUGUAAUCCUAGUGGCUCAGGAGGCUGAGGCAGGAGGAUCUCGGGUUCAAAGCCAGCCUUAGCAAUGACGAGGUGCUAAGAAACUCAGUGAGAUCCUGUCUCUA